GAAAUAGUACUAAAUCUAUAUUUUUACUGCUUGUUUUUUUUUCAGAACGCCACUCCACAGGCUUCAGAUCACUACCUGGGACACUGCUAUGGUUGGAGCUGGAUAAAUCUUCUGUCCCAUCCUCUUUGUUUAAUCUGGGAUUCUGAAAUAUAUUCAUGCAUCAGAAAAGCCAAGGCAGAUCAACGUUCAGCAAGUGAUUUCCAGGUGUGCCAGCUACUGUCAGCCAAAGCACAGUGCUCUGGGAUUCAAACAGCACUGAAGAGUCGACCUGCAGGGUGCCACAGCAUCUGCAGCUGCCUCAGGUGAGCAUCACUGACUCAGCUCUUCUCACCAGCAAAGGGGCAGUCACUGGGCACAGAGAAGCUGCUUUUUGGCACCUGAAACUUUUGUUCUGUUCUUGGGGUACCACAACUCUGGGUCAUGCUGUCCAGUGCAAAGCCCCUGAAGGUGAUUGUCUUCUGGGAAAAGAAGGGUGACAGGGUUGCAAAGACAUUCAAAGCUUCUUCACACUUCUGUCACAGCAGCUUUUGGGGUCUGAAUAGCUUUUUGCUGCUUUAGAACCCAGUUUCUGUCCUCAAA
This 579-nucleotide long non-coding RNA is filed under the name Cyanistes caeruleus (blue tit). RNAcentral describes it as "lncRNA (ENSCCEG00000012161.1)". Lineage: Eukaryota; Metazoa; Chordata; Aves; Passeriformes; Paridae. The record is from RNAcentral.